This 411-nucleotide ribosomal RNA is filed under the name Babesia canis canis. RNAcentral's name for it is "SSU rRNA". It matches the Rfam family "Eukaryotic small subunit ribosomal RNA", at positions 436 to 902 of the family's 1831-position model. Lineage: Eukaryota; Apicomplexa; Aconoidasida; Piroplasmida; Babesiidae. The record is from RNAcentral.
GCAAAUUACCCAAUCCUGACACAGGGAGGUAGUGACAAGAAAUAACAAUACAGGGCGAAUGUCUUGUAAUUGGAAUGAUGGUGACCCAAACCCUCACCAGAGUAGCAAUUGGAGGGCAAGUCUGGUGCCAGCAGCCGCGGUAAUUCCAGCUCCAAUAGCGUAUAUUAAACUUGUUGCAGUUAAAAAGCUCGUAGUGUAUUUUUGCGUUGACGGUUUGACCAUUUGGUUGGUUAUUUCGUUUUCGCUUUUGGGAAUUUCCCUUUUUACUUUGAGAAAAUUAGAGUGUUUCAAGCAGACUUUUGUCUUGAAUACUUCAGCAUGGAAUAAUAGAGUAGGACUUUGGUUCUAUUUUGUUGGUUAUUGAACCUUAGUAAUGGUUAAUAGGAACGGUUGGGGGCAUUCGUAUUUAAA